GUCGUUUCCUAGCAUCCUUUGCGGUUGGUCGUUACAUCGUGUGUUGUGGCAGUGCUCUUUGUGAGGCUGGAGGCUGCUUCGAGUCAAUCUGUUCUCAUCGUUUUAACUAUGAAGCGUGUGCCUGUGGCUGUUCAGCGUGCCGGUAUCAAGAGACCACGUGUGCGCCGGUCAGCAUCGCGGCCACGUGAUGCACCAACUGAACCUGCCGGCGUGAGCUGAUGAACGCUCCACUGUGGAGCACCAGAUGAACCUGCCGGCGUAAGCUGAAUGCCCUGGUUUGGAGCACUGUCCAUGGCGGCGGCAGCUGAAUGCUCUGCUGUGGAGGGGCAACAAUCUGCACUCCUGCAUGCAGGAGGUGAGUAUUGCAAGCACUUGCAGUCAUUGAUUCCUCGUGAUGAACUUAUAGUCUCGUUCGUAUGAAAAUACUGAUUCAAUUAAAUUUCCUGAUCCUUUGCUGACUUGGUGAGAUAUUGGUUUUGUGUGCCGUUUCAGUAAUUGCACUUAGUUUUUCAGGACGAGGAAGUAGAACCAAAGACUGUACAUGAGUCCUGGUGGAUGUGACAUCAGUUCUAUCUCCAAGGUUUGUUUGUGCACCAGCUUGGUUAACUUGCUUGUUGUUGUGAUGAUUAAGUUGUUCAUACUUUUCAUGGUGAAGUACAUUGCCCUCUCUGAUAACACAAGUUCUCUCAUGGGUUUGAAAAGUCCACUGCUAUCGUUAAACAUUAUCCUUUAUUCCAGGUUUCCUCGAACUGCCCAUCCAGUCUAAUGCAAUUGGUCAGAAGGUUGGUAUGUUCUCCCUCAAGCCUCGUUACGUAGUUUGGCGUUUGUCAGGAUAACGUCAAACUAUUCCAGUCUGUUUUUAUUCCGA
This 868-nucleotide long non-coding RNA is filed under the name Dermacentor andersoni. RNAcentral's name for it is "uncharacterized LOC126533961". The record is from RNAcentral. Lineage: Eukaryota; Metazoa; Arthropoda; Arachnida; Ixodida; Ixodidae.